GAUGAACGCUAGCUACAGGCUUAACACAUGCAAGUCGAGGGGCAGCAUGCAGGUAGCUUGCUAUCUGUGAUGGCGACCGGCGCACGGGUGAGUAUCGCGUAUCCAACCUGCCCAUAAGUAGGGAAUAGCCUUGCGAAAGUAAGAUUAAUGCCCUAUGGUUUCCAUUAAAGACAUCUGAGAUGGAAUAAAGAUUUAUCGCUUAUGGAUGGGGAUGCGUCUGAUUAGGUAGUAGGCGGGGUAACGGCCCACCUAGCCGACGAUCAGUAGGGGUUCUGAGAGGAAGGUCCCCCACAUUGGAACUGAGACACGGUCCAAACUCC
RNAcentral lists this ribosomal RNA (320 nucleotides) under uncultured Prevotella sp. RNAcentral's name for it is "bacterial SSU rRNA". It matches the Rfam family "Bacterial small subunit ribosomal RNA", at positions 28 to 339 of the family's 1533-position model. Lineage: Bacteria; Pseudomonadati; Bacteroidota; Bacteroidia; Bacteroidales; Prevotellaceae. The record is from RNAcentral.